RNAcentral lists this ribosomal RNA (440 nucleotides) under uncultured bacterium. RNAcentral describes it as "partial 16S ribosomal RNA". It matches the Rfam family "Bacterial small subunit ribosomal RNA", at positions 338 to 795 of the family's 1533-position model. The record is from RNAcentral.
CCUACGGGUGGCAGCAGUGGGGGAUAUUGCACAAUGGGGGAAACCCUGAUGCAGCGACGCCGCGUGGGUGAAGAAGCGCCUCGGCGCGUAAAGCCCUGUCAGCAGGGAAGAAAAUGACGGUACCUGAAGAAGAAGCCCCGGCUAACUACGUGCCAGCAGCCGCGGUAAUACGUAGGGGGCAAGCGUUAUCCGGAUUUACUGGGUGUAAAGGGGGCGCAGGCGGCGAUGCAAACAAGGAGUGAAAGCCCGGGGCCCAACCCCGGGACUGCUCUUGGAACUGCGUGGCGAGAGUGCAGGAGGGGCAGGCGGAAUUCCUGGUGUAGCGGUGAAAUGCGUAGAUAUCAGGAGGAACACCGGUGGCGAAGGCGGCCUGCUGGACUGCAACUGACGUUGAGGCCCGAAAGCGUGGGGAGCAAACAGGAUUAGAUACCCGAGUAGUC